Molecule: long non-coding RNA, 738 nt
Organism: Lytechinus variegatus (green sea urchin)
Lineage: Eukaryota; Metazoa; Echinodermata; Echinoidea; Temnopleuroida; Toxopneustidae
Exons: 3
Source: RefSeq, a predicted model, not a curated record
GAAUGAAGACACCAGGAAAAUGAUCAAAUCAUGUGGAGCACUUCUGUUGAUUCCUACUAUUUUUGGAGAGAAGGCAUUGCUUUGUCAGCAUAGCCAGGAUAAAAAACGGACCAAUCGCCAAAAUCAUCUACAAAAGUAAGCCCGACAGUGCAGGUCUGACUCUGAGCAGUGAUCAUGAAAAAUUCACGGAAAUUCAGCAAUCAUCCUAUAUUACAUCAGAGAAUGAAGUCAUCUGCGAGAAAACCACCUACCUCAUGUCAGCAGUCUCUCUGCUUAUGUCGGCCCAUUAUGUAUUCAACUGAUCAUACACCCAAGAUGGGUAACACCCUCACAUUCAUUCAGAAGAUUCUGAUGAACAUAGAUUCCACAUCUCAACCCUCAUCCAAGGUCGUAAGAAGCCUGUAUGACUUAAAUGCUGUCCGAAAUGCUGAUGCCAGUAGUUCUUCAGUUUAAGAGAAAUUAAUUACCUGGCUGAUGCUACUGCAACACAGCUGAUCACACUUUCUCUACGUGCAAUCACCUUAGGUGUUGUAUCUGUCUUUUAUGUGCAGAAUAGAUUGAAAUAGAUACGACAGGUUGACCGUGAAUUUAGACAUCAAGUAUGUGCAUUAUUUCGCUUUGCUUCAGUACAAAUGUCAGUGGCCCUUGAAUUGGAAAUCUUUUCAUAUCCCAAGAAUUAUGUAUAAAUGCUUAAUGAAAUUUUUGUCACAGAUAAAAUAGGUUUUUGCACACACAAAA